CGGCGAUGUCCGAAUGGGGAAACCCAGUGCAAUUCGUUGCACUAUCGUUAACUGAAUACAUAGGUUAACGAGGCGAACCGGGGGAACUGAAACAUCUAAGUACCCCGAGGAAAAGAAAUCAACCGAGAUUCCCCCAGUAGCGGCGAGCGAACGGGGAGCAGCCCAGAGUCUGAAUCAGCUUGUGUGUUAGUGGAACGGUCUGGAAAGUCCGACGGUACAGGGUGAUAGUCCCGUACACCAAAAUGCACAGGCUGUGAACUCGAAGAGUAGGGCGGGACACGUGGUAUCCUGUCUGAAUAUGGGGGGACCAUCCUCCAAGGCUAAAUACUCCUGACUGACCGAUAGUGAACCAGUACCGUGAGGGAAAGGCGAAAAGAACCCCGGCGAGGGGAGUGAAAAAGAACCUGAAACCGUGUACGUACAAGCAGUGGGAGCACCUUCGGGUGUGACUGCGUACCUUUUGUAUAAUGGGUCAGCGACUUAUAUUCUGUAGCAAGGUUAACCGUAUAGGGGAGCCGCAGGGAAACCGAGUCUUAACUGGGCGUUAAGUUGCAGGGUAUAGACCCGAAACCCGGUGAUCUAGCCAUGGGCAGGUUGAAGGUUGGGUAACACUAACUGGAGGACCGAACCGACUAAUGUUGAAAAAUUAGCGGAUGACUUGUGGCUGGGGGUGAAAGGCCAAUCAAACCGGGAGAUAGCUGGUUCUCCCCGAAAGCUAUUUAGGUAGCGCCUCGUGAAUUCAUCUUCGGGGGUAGAGCACUGUUUCGGCUAGGGGGUCAUCCCGACUUACCAACCCGAUGCAAACUACGAAUACCGAAGAAUGUUAUCACGGGAGACACACGGCGGGUGCUAACGUCCGUCGUGAAGAGGGAAACAACCCAGACCGCCAGCUAAGGUCCCAAAGUCAUGGUUAAGUGGGAAACGAUGUGGGAAGGCACAGACAGCCAGGAUGUUGGCUUAGAAGCAGCCAUCAUUUAAAGAAAGCGUAAUAGCUCACUGGUCGAGUCGGCCUGCGCGGAAGAUGUAACGGGGCUAAACCAUGCACCGAAGCUGCGGCAGCGACACUAUGUGUUGUUGGGUAGGGGAGCGUUCUGUAAGCCUGCGAAGGUGUGCUGUGAGGCAUGCUGGAGGUAUCAGAAGUGCGAAUGCUGACAUAAGUAACGAUAAAGCGGGUGAAAAGCCCGCUCGCCGGAAGACCAAGGGUUCCUGUCCAACGUUAAUCGGGGCAGGGUGAGUCGACCCCUAAGGCGAGGCCGAAAGGCGUAGUCGAUGGGAAACAGGUUAAUAUUCCUGUACUUGGUGUUACUGCGAAGGGGGGACGGAGAAGGCUAUGUUAGCCGGGCGACGGUUGUCCCGGUUUAAGCAUGUAGGCUGAUUGUCCAGGCAAAUCCGGAUAAUCAAGGCUGAGGUGUGAUGACGAGGCACUACGGUGCUGAAGUAACAAAUGCCCUGCUUCCAGGAAAAGCCUCUAAGCAUCAGGUAACAUCAAAUCGUACCCCAAACCGACACAGGUGGUCAGGUAGAGAAUACCAAGGCGCUUGAGAGAACUCGGGUGAAGGAACUAGGCAAAAUGGUGCCGUAACUUCGGGAGAAGGCACGCUGGUGUGUAGGUGAAGUCCCUGCGGAUGGAGCUGAGACCAGUCGAAGAUACCAGCUGGCUGCAACUGUUUAUUAAAAACACAGCACUGUGCAAACACGAAAGUGGACGUAUACGGUGUGACGCCUGCCCGGUGCCGGAAGGUUAAUUGAUGGGGUUAUCCGUAAGGAGAAGCUCUUGAUCGAAGCCCCGGUAAACGGCGGCCGUAACUAUAACGGUCCUAAGGUAGCGAAAUUCCUUGUCGGGUAAGUUCCGACCUGCACGAAUGGCGUAAUGAUGGCCAGGCUGUCUCCACCCGAGACUCAGUGAAAUUGAACUCGCUGUGAAGAUGCAGUGUACCCGCGGCAAGACGGAAAGACCCCGUGAACCUUUACUAUAGCUUGACACUGAACAUUGAGCCUUGAUGUGUAGGAUAGGUGGGAGGCUUUGAAGCGUGGACGCCAGUCUGCGUGGAGCCAACCUUGAAAUACCACCCUUUAAUGUUUGAUGUUCUAACGUUGGCCCCUUACCGGGGUUGCGGACAGUGUCUGGUGGGUAGUUUGACUGGGGCGGUCUCCUCCCAAAGCGUAACGGAGGAGCACGAAGGUUAGCUAAUCCUGGUCGGACAUCAGGAGGUUAGUGCAAUGGCAUAAGCUAGCUUGACUGCGAGCGUGACGGCGCGAGCAGGUGCGAAAGCAGGUCAUAGUGAUCCGGUGGUUCUGAAUGGAAGGGCCAUCGCUCAACGGAUAAAAGGUACUCCGGGGAUAACAGGCUGAUACCGCCCAAGAGUUCAUAUCGACGGCGGUGUUUGGCACCUCGAUGUCGGCUCAUCACAUCCUGGGGCUGAAGUAGGUCCCAAGGGUAUGGCUGUUCGCCAUUUAAAGUGGUACGCGAGCUGGGUUUAGAACGUCGUGAGACAGUUCGGUCCCUAUCUGCCGUGGGCGCUGGAGAAUUGAGGGGGGCUGCUCCUAGUACGAGAGGACCGGAGUGGACGCAUCACUGGUGUUCGGGUUGUCAUGCCAAUGGCACUGCCCGGUAGCUAAAUGCGGAAGAGAUAAGUGCUGAAAGCAUCUAAGCACGAAACUUGCCCCGAGAUGAGUUCUCCCUGAGACUUUAAGUCUCCUGAAGGAACGUUAAAGACGAUGACGUUGAUAGGCCGGGUGUGUAAGCGCAGCGAUGCGUUGAGCUAACCGGUACUAAUGAACCGUGAGGCUUAACCUU
RNAcentral lists this ribosomal RNA (2797 nucleotides) under Klebsiella pneumoniae. RNAcentral describes it as "bacterial LSU rRNA". It matches the Rfam family "Bacterial large subunit ribosomal RNA". Lineage: Bacteria; Pseudomonadati; Pseudomonadota; Gammaproteobacteria; Enterobacterales; Enterobacteriaceae. The record is from RNAcentral.